RNAcentral lists this long non-coding RNA (1119 nucleotides) under Betta splendens (Siamese fighting fish). RNAcentral describes it as "lncRNA (ENSBSLG00000026453.1)". The record is from RNAcentral. Lineage: Eukaryota; Metazoa; Chordata; Actinopteri; Anabantiformes; Osphronemidae.
CUGACAUACAAAGCAUUCCUCAGAAAACACAUCGGCCUUAGUUUUGUUAGCUAACUAAAGCUAACUAAACUGAGGCCGAUGUGCUAGCUAGAUAACUAGCUACAGUAGCUAGCUACAGUAGCUAGCAAGCUUAGUGUUCACUUUUUUUUCUUUUAUUCAGUCUAACAAUAAUACAGUUAUUCUAAUUGGCUUUGGUUUUGAUACCAAAUAACUCUUUGAUAAUUCCUGAUGAGGGGUCAUUGUGAAACCAACACAUGCUCUGUCUUUAACCUGAAACUCAUUUGCAAUCUGCACGUAUUCUUUUUAUAGAACGAAGAGGACAAGCAGGAAGAGGAGGAGGCAACAGAACGGUAGCCCAGACCUGACAGGUUCCUUCAUAUCCGACCUCACUCAGUCCCAUACGGGGACCGAGCACAUGUCCACACCAGGAAAUGGCUUUUUGCUCCUAUUUGAAAGCGCGAGGAACACUGACGGACGCACGGACGGACGGAGCGGCCGCCGGCUCCCAGCAGCCGCCUUCAGCCACCGUGGACCGAGAGCCAAAUUCCCGGCUGGGAAUAUCUGGACAGAGGACGUGAACAAGGUGGACUCUCCUCUUCCUUACAUCCUGUCUGUGGCUCUUUGAGCAAUGAUUUUGAUUCGCCCCAUAGGAGCUGACGAACAGUUUCAUGUCGGCGUGCUGUAGAUUUAUCCUUUCUGAAAAAAACAUCUGGUCAGCAAAUUCCUCCUCUUAUUGCAGUGGAUCCAGUAAAUAGGAGCUCAUCCUGGUCCAAAGCGUCCAGGUAACUCCCCUGUAGGCGCAUCUGUUUACAGAGAGACAGAUCCUGAGAACUCUGGUCGCGGUGUCUGCACAUGAUAUCAGCACUAAACACGAGUGGUUUUAAGCGCAAACUACCUAAAACCUCACACCUGCUCAGUGAACCCCCUGCUGCUGCCGCUUCCUGCCACCAGGUGGGGUGAGAGACGUGGGGGCAACCAAACGCCUGCCCAUAAUAACCACCAGACAUGACUCAUUCAGCGCAGAACACCACAGCAGCCACAGACAGGUCUCUGGCACACGAGCGGCAGAAAUGGGACUCUGCAGCGGAGUUUGUGAAUGGGGAAGAAAUUUAGUGCUGC